This 255-nucleotide long non-coding RNA is filed under the name Elaeis guineensis (African oil palm). RNAcentral's name for it is "long non-coding RNA (EGUI_LNC064784)". Lineage: Eukaryota; Viridiplantae; Streptophyta; Magnoliopsida; Arecales; Arecaceae. The record is from RNAcentral.
AUUGUUAGAUGUAUAUCCUAGAAGUCAAUUGUUGGUUGACAUAUUUUUAUUCUAUGAUACAUAUUUAUACUUAAACUAUUGAUUUAAUCAAUAAAAGGUAAGUUUUUUUUUAUUCAAGUAUUAUGUGUCCUUGAAUCAUCUUUGAAAUUGAUGUUAUGAUACAUAUUCUUAAAAAUUAAAAAUUAGAGGCAUGUAUGAAUGAUUUCUAAAUUGCUCCUAGUUAUAGGAUAGUCAUGGGGAUAGUGAUCCUUCCAG